AUGUUCUAACCGCUCGAAAGCAACACAGUGAUAUAUAUAACAAAUUAACCUAAUGUGUUCAUAAAAUCUUUUUCGCGUGAAGUCAAUUGUGCAAGGGGCGAACCACUUCUUUGGGAGUCCUUGCCGCCGUGAUGCUUCCCUCAGUCAAUUCCAGUAGUCUCCUCCUUCCUAUUGCUGUGUCCAUCACUGAGCCGCUUUUCCUCCCUCUAACACUGUCAAGAAUUAGAUUCGCACUUCUUAUCUUCCUCGCGCGAACACAAAAGGGGCAGAGGUGCAAAACACACCUCCGCGUGCCAAUCUUUGCCGCCGUUCCCCUCCGCCCGUGCUGCAUCGCGCUUUCCGUUGCCGAGAGAAAUAAAGAUCAAGCGCAUCAAAAUGGAGUGAUAUUUUUAGUUUUCCAGAGGCUCUGUUUUGUUGGAAAUGCAGAAAAUAUCAUGAAGGAGGCAGGGCCUGUUAGCAUGACCUUUGAUAUACCAAUGUAUCAUGCUUUAAGGCUUCAGGCAAGGGAUCUUAUUUCGAAGAUCACCGAGGAGAGGAAUUCUAUUAUUGAUCAAAAUAAAAAACCUCAGCAAGAACUGGUUCUUGCAGCCACUCAAGUUCUAGGUCAGGAGGGUCAAAGUUGGUUUCAGGGUACUGCUGAUGCUAUAAGGCAGUUCCACUGGCUAUUUGAGGAGCUAAGCUAUUUCAUAUCAUGUGCUUUAUUUAGUCUAAUUGCUUGCUUGUUGACAGAGAAUAUAAAACUUUGUAUCGUGCUAUAUAUGUUGUUCUGUUGACAUAUGGUAUACAAAGUGUUGUUAGUUCCAUUUUUUAAUUAAUGACAAUGUUUAUUUGUUGUAGGAUCCAAGAGCAAAGAACAUUGAGGAUGUAUUGAUGCUUUCAGGGGAUCACCGCCUGUACAGAAUGAACUACAUAGAUUUGAUUCAAGUUUACCGGGAGAGCAAAGCUGAUUUAUGUAUUGACUGUAAAAGGAGGUGUGGGUGGAAGGUU
This is an RNA transcript of Arachis duranensis, 987 nucleotides long. RefSeq lists it as uncharacterized. NCBI's taxonomy places the organism in Eukaryota, Viridiplantae, Streptophyta, Magnoliopsida, Fabales, Fabaceae. The transcript has 6 exons. The record is from RefSeq and is a predicted model, not a curated record.